CGACGAGUGGCGGACGGGUGAGCAAUACUUAGGAAUCUGCCCAGUAGUGGGGGACAACUCGGGGAAACUCGAGCUAAUACCGCAUACGCCCUAAGGGGGAAAGCGGGGGAUCUUCGGACCUCGCGCUAUUGGAUGAGCCUAAGUCGGAUUAGCUUGUAGGUAGGGUAACGGCCUACCUAGGCGACGAUCCGUAGCUGGUCUGAGAGGACGAUCAGCCACACUGGGACUGAGACACGGCCCAG
This 242-nucleotide ribosomal RNA is filed under the name uncultured bacterium. Its description in RNAcentral is "partial 16S ribosomal RNA". It matches the Rfam family "Bacterial small subunit ribosomal RNA", at positions 89 to 334 of the family's 1533-position model. The record is from RNAcentral.